AAUAGUGUAAUCGGAUUAUAGAUC
RNAcentral lists this microRNA (24 nucleotides) under Oryza sativa (Asian cultivated rice). Its description in RNAcentral is "osa-miR11340-3p". The record is from miRBase by way of RNAcentral. Lineage: Eukaryota; Viridiplantae; Streptophyta; Magnoliopsida; Poales; Poaceae.